This 901-nucleotide ribosomal RNA is filed under the name marine metagenome. RNAcentral describes it as "bacterial SSU rRNA". It matches the Rfam family "Bacterial small subunit ribosomal RNA", at positions 8 to 906 of the family's 1533-position model. The record is from RNAcentral.
AGAGUUUGAUCAUGGCUCAGAUUGAACGCUGGCGGCAGGCCUAACACAUGCAAGUCGAACGGUAACAGGAUUAGCUUGCUAAUCGCUGACGAGUGGCGGACGGGUGAGUAAUGCUUGGGAACUUGCCUUUGCGAGGGGGAUAACAGUUGGAAACGACUGCUAAUACCGCAUAAUGUCUUCGGACCAAACGGGGCUUCGGCUCCGGCGCAAAGAGAGGCCCAAGUGAGAUUAGCUAGUUGGUAAGGUAACGGCUUACCAAGGCGACGAUCUCUAGCUGUUCUGAGAGGAAGAUCAGCCACACUGGGACUGAGACACGGCCCAGACUCCUACGGGAGGCAGCAGUGGGGAAUAUUGCACAAUGGGGGAAACCCUGAUGCAGCCAUGCCGCGUGUGUGAAGAAGGCCUUCGGGUUGUAAAGCACUUUCAGUUGUGAGGAAAAGUUAGUAGUUAAUACCUGCUAGCCGUGACGUUAACAACAGAAGAAGCACCGGCUAACUCCGUGCCAGCAGCCGCGGUAAUACGGAGGGUGCGAGCGUUAAUCGGAAUUACUGGGCGUAAAGCGCACGCAGGCGGUUUGUUAAGCUAGAUGUGAAAGCCCCGGGCUCAACCUGGGAUGGUCAUUUAGAACUGGCAGACUAGAGUCUUGGAGAGGGGAGUGGAAUUCCAGGUGUAGCGGUGAAAUGCGUAGAUAUCUGGAGGAACAUCAGUGGCGAAGGCGACUCCCUGGCCAAAGACUGACGCUCAUGUGCGAAAGUGUGGGUAGCGAACAGGAUUAGAUACCCUGGUAGUCCACACCGUAAACGCUGUCUACUAGCUGUGUGUGCCUUUAAGGCGUGCGUAGCGAAGCUAACGCGCUAAGUAGACCGCCUGGGGAGUACGGCCGCAAGGUUAAAACUCAAAU